AUCUAAAAUAUCUGGCUCAGCCCUCCACCUCGGCACCUUUAACAUUGCGAUAUUUCACUUUUUUCUCCGCUUCUCCUUUCUCAUCAAAAGUGAAAAAGUGCAAAAUUUAUAUUGCCUCCCUCUCCCCUCCUCCUCCCCUUUCCCGUUUCCCAAACAAAUAUCUUCACUCAAUUUCAUUUCUUCUUCUCCUUCUUCUGCUCCCGCCUCCCUCCCCCUUCGAUCCCAUAUCCAUAAUCUUUUCCCCCCUUUUCCAUAUCAUAUGACUUCAUCCUCACCCCUCCGUAUCCCCGCCUGCCAAUCUUGAUUUUCCCUCGAUACUUUUCUUUCUAUUAAUGGGGGAGGAGGUCAAGAUGACCGAUUACGACGGCGCUGUCCCCGAUGAUGAUGAGAGAGUCCUCGAAUGGGAGUUGGGCCUCCCUACUGCCGAUGAUCUCACUCCCCUCUCUCAGCCUCUGAUCCCGCCGGAGCUCGCCUCCGCCUUCAGCAUAUCGCCGGAGCCCAGCCGGAGUCUCCUCGACGUUAAUCGUGCCUCCCGGAAUACUCUCACCAAUCUUCGCGGCGGAAGCUCUCAGGCCUUUUCCUCCAAUAAUUUCAAGUCGCUCAAUGAUGACGGGUGUCAGGACCCCAUCGUGGUGGAGGCCGAUGAAGAGGGCGAUCGACAUGGGUCGGGGUCCGAUUCUCGGAAACUCAGGAAGAUCGACUGCACCGAAGAAGCUGAUUCGGCUCUGCGGACUGAGAAUUCCACGGAUGAUCCGUCUGCUCGGACCUUGAAGCGGCCUCGGCUUGUGUGGACUCCGCAGUUGCACAAGCGGUUUGUGGAUGUGGUGGCUCAUCUGGGAAUCAAGAACGCGGUGCCGAAGACGAUUAUGCAAUUGAUGAACGUCGAAGGAUUGACCCGAGAAAAUGUCGCCAGCCAUCUUCAGAAGUAUCGGCUUUACUUGAAGAGGAUGCAGGGUUUAUCCAACGAGGGUCCUUCAUCAUCGGACCAGCUCUUCGCUUCCACUCCGGUGCCGCAAAGCCUACACGAUUCUGGUGGAAGUGGGCACUCUCAUGGAAACGGGCAUCUUCCGGUCCCGAUUCCGAUGCUAUAUCCACCGCCAAUGAUGCCCAUGCCGGUUCUUGGAAUGCCCCAUGGUCAGGGUCAUCCGCAUGCUCACAUGGGAAUGCCGGUGGCCAAUCAUGGGUUCGACUCACAUCCAUAUAAUCUGUUGCAGCCAAGGGAUUGGUCUGGCAAGAAAUUUGCUUCGGUUGUAUCAGACCCUCACGUUGCUACUAACGAUAAAUGAGCUUUCAUUCAGAAAUUUGUCAACAACUCAGUAACGAUUCAAAAGUUUAACCAAAGGCCAUCACUAGGAAGUGUGGGAUGCAGCUCUAUUGGUGGCCCUGGAUUUCAUUUACACGCAUUCUUAAAGAAGUAAUUGCAGGUUCUGAAGCCAAAUGGAGUCUGAGGUAUUAUGUACCGCUUCAGCAAAUUCGCGGACCUUCUCUUGACAAACAUAUCUCAUAAUUGUAGGAGGAGAUAACUGGCAUGAUGCUUGUGGUCUAUCUAGAUUACUGCAGCUUCUGAACACCAAUGCAAAACUGAAUAAGAGAAGGACCGAGCAAAAGGGUAGACGAGUUCAAGUGACAAUGUUGACUUUCACCCUACGGUAUAGAUGCAGACCGUAAGCGGUGUUGAUGGGAAGGAUCAGAAAGAUGCAGAGCAUGAGGAGAUAAGCUGGGUGGUUGGAGGGAAAUCAAAGGAGAUUUAGGAACGGAUGAAAGAGAUAAGCACUCAAUGACAGUGUUCUAUUUGAAAGAAUGAUGUGGGGUUUGGGGAUAAGGUGCCAGCAAGUGGCUGGUAUUAUUAUAAUCAGGGGAUUAGGUCUGUGGGUUAAAAUAUGGAAAGAAGCUUCUAGGUUGGGAAAUAAAUUAUUGAUUACAGUGACUGGACCAUAAAUCCGUUUCUUUUCUUCAAGAAU
RNA transcript from Neltuma alba, 1961 nucleotides. It is a transcript of the gene named transcription factor PCL1-like, with no coding region annotated. The record is from RefSeq and is a predicted model, not a curated record. The transcript has 4 exons. NCBI's taxonomy places the organism in Eukaryota, Viridiplantae, Streptophyta, Magnoliopsida, Fabales, Fabaceae.